This 445-nucleotide ribosomal RNA is filed under the name uncultured bacterium. Its description in RNAcentral is "bacterial SSU rRNA". It matches the Rfam family "Bacterial small subunit ribosomal RNA", at positions 355 to 823 of the family's 1533-position model. The record is from RNAcentral.
UGGGGAAUAUUGGACAAUGGGCGAAAGCCUGAUCCAGCCAUGCCGCGUGUGUGAAGAAGGUCUUCGGGUUGUAAAGCUCUUUUGCCGGGGACGAUAAUGACGGUAGCGCAGGAAUAAGUCUCGGCUAACUACGUGCCAGCAGCCGCGGUAAAACGUAGGAGACGAACGUUAUCCGGAGUUACUGGGCGUAAAGGGCGUGUAGGCGGUUUGUUAAGUCUGGCGUGAAAGCUCUCGGCUAAACCGGGAGAGGUCGUUGGAUACUGGCGAACUAGAGGAUGGUAGAGGCGUGUGGAAUUCCGGGUGUAGUGGUGAAAUGCGUAGAGAUCCGGAGGAACACCAGUGGCGAAGGCGACACGCUGGGCCAUACCUGACGCUAAAGCGCGACAGCAUGGGGAGCAGACGGGAUUAGAUACCCAAGUAGUCCCUGAGCGGGCUGGCAAGGCGC